UACGGAGGGUGCGAGCGUUGUCCGGAAUCACUGGGCGUAAAGGGCGCGUAGGCGGCGCGGGGAGUCAACGGUGAAAGCUCGGCGCUCAACGCCGAGUCGGCCGUCGAUACUCCCGUGCUUGAGCACUGUAGAGGCAGGUGGAAUUCCGGGUGUAGCGGUGGAAUGCGUAGAUAUGACCCAGAACUCCGAUUGCGAAGGCAGGAGGCUACGCCUGGAUUGACACUGAGGCACGAGAGCAUGGGGAGCAAACAGG
Molecule: ribosomal RNA, 253 nt
Filed under: uncultured bacterium
Lineage: Bacteria
Description: partial 16S ribosomal RNA
Rfam family: Bacterial small subunit ribosomal RNA
Source: RNAcentral